RNAcentral lists this long non-coding RNA (6863 nucleotides) under Ananas comosus (pineapple). Its description in RNAcentral is "long non-coding RNA (ACOM_LNC002227)". The record is from RNAcentral. Lineage: Eukaryota; Viridiplantae; Streptophyta; Magnoliopsida; Poales; Bromeliaceae.
CUGUGGUUGGACUAGGAGAUGUUUAGAUCAAGAUGGUUCUGUUAGGAUUUGGUUAGAUUUGUAGAUUAAUUCUAGUUGGAUAAGAAUUAAUAUUUAAAUCUGUUGGAGAUAAAUUAAGAUUUAAAUAUGAAUUAGAGUAUGAAUCUAACUAGAUUAAGAUAAAUAUUUAAAUCUAUUGGAGAUAAAUGAUAUAUAGAUUUAAAUAUUUAUUAGAGUAGGAAUCUUGAUUGGACUAGGAUUCGCAUAUGUUUUAGAGGAUGCAUUAUAAAAGCACCCUUUGAGAUGCUUUUGAAGGAGAGAGUACGGUGAGAGAGAAUGCCUUAUUAGGUAAAACCGUACCAGGAGAGAGAAAGUAAUGGUUGCAUGCAUCUAGUGCACGGGUGCAUGUGAGAGAGAAAAAAAGAGAGUUGUCUUCUUUGUGGGUUUAUAGAAGACGAGAGAAGGGUAGGAGAGAUUCAAGAAAGAGGGCUCAGAUUGUAGCUACUCAAUACAGAAGAGGAGUCAGGUGUAAUCUUCUCUUAUUUAAUGAAUCUUAUUUUAUCUGCAUAUUUUCUGUUUUGGUUUUUCUCUCUUUUGUGAUUGUAUUAGCUUUUGUUGAGGAUACGGGUUUAUGGUAAAAACCCAAUUCGAUGCUUCUGUUGCGGAAUCCCAACAAUCGGUACCGGAUCAACAACAGUCGGUAUCGGAGCGGGUUGCGGAUUCACAAAAUCCGCCACCGGGGCAAGUACCGGAUUCCCAACAAUUGGUAUUAGGGCUGAAGGUUACCGAUCUGCGAGAGAGAUCGAUGGAGCUAGAUGGCCACGAAAUUCGAAAACGAGAAGUUCGACGGCAAGAACAAUUUCGGAUUAUGGCAAAUUAAAGUACGAGUGAUCCUUGUACAGCAAGAGUUGGACGAGACAUUGAACGGGAAGGCGGCGAAGCCGGCGGAGGUCACGGAUACGGCAUGGACGAAGAUGGAGCAGAAGGCGCUGAGUACGCUUCAUCUAUCAUUAGCAGAUGAGGUUCUUUACAACGUAGCCAGCGAGACGACACCGGCGAAGUUGUGAAAGAAAUUAGAAGAUCUGUACAUGACCAAAUCCUUGACGAAUAGGUUGUAUCUGAAACGACGACUGUUUACACUGCGGAUGCAGGAAGCGGCAAGCCUAAGAGCAUCUUAAUGAGUUCAACAAGGGGGUGGCCCAAUUGACUAACAUCGGAGUCAAUCUGGAUGAUGAAGAUAAGGCGCUGAUUUUACUAUCUUCGCUAGUGGCGACAUAUGAGCAUCUGGUGACGACAUUGCUUUAUGGCAAGGAGACCAUAAGCGUGGAGGCGGUCACGGUGGCGCUUCUCUUGAACGAGAUGGGGAAUAUGACUCAGGAAUCUGGCACACAGAGCCGGGAUACUGCUUUGAUAGUGAGAGCGAAGAAGGAGGUGACAACAUUGGCGACCGGAGAUCGACAGAAGAAGCCACUAUUCGAGGUGGAGUGCUUUUACUGUCAUAGGAAAGUGUUAGAUGUAUGCCCUAGAAGCCAACCGGCCCGACACAUAUAUUCUUUCUAGGACAUAAAUUUGUAUUUGACUUUUAAAUAUUAUGAAUAACUUUCGAUUUUUAUUUCCAUUCAUGUUGUGUAUGUGUCCAUGAAUCGUCCAAGGAAUUAAUAAGAUGAUGACAUAUUGUGAGAUCCCUGGUGUUUGACUGUGGAGGCUUGUCGACAGCUCUGGAGAGUGUCGGGACAAGCCCGAGUCGCGUUGGCGUCAAAUAGACGUAAAACGGACUCCGUGCGACGCGAUGGCAGCUUAUCGCGAAGAAUUUUGCAAAACAGCAGCAUUCUCUGCUUGCUGUACCGGUACAAGCUUAGUGGCUGUACCGGUACAACCAGCGCGAAAUAGCUUAACUGCUCUCGGGUUGGCUCUUGUACCGGUACAAGAGCCCGUGUACCGGUACAAGAGGGUAGGUGGCAGGGUAAUUAGGUAAUUUCUCCACCUCGUUUGUUUCACCCAUCCCACCUACUGCUUUAUACAUGAGUAGAGAGCUGAGAGAGGAGAGUUUUCUUGUUCUUCUUCCUCUCCCUCUCUAGCAUUGGCCGAGCAAGGAGGAGAGAUUGUGGGAGUGCGGAUUCGUCGCCAACGUAGUGCCGCGGAGUUGUUCGAGCGCACGUUUGUCGCCGUGGUGCUGUGAGGAGCUUGGGCGGGCUUGGAUUUGCAUCGUCUUCGACGUGGUGACGACUCUUGAAGGUUGUUCAAGGUGAGUGUGUUGCUGGAAUCGCCUCUAUUACUUCAGCAACAUUAUUUUGAGCUUGAAUGCUGUUUUGCUGUUUUUCGCCGUCGACCGUUGGUAUUUCAGCUCGUUCUCGACGUAGGAGCACCGGAUUGCGACGAGACUUGGCUCGUUGGAUUCANCUCCGCGUAGGAACGUCGGAUCGCGACAAGGCUUGGUUCGUUGGAUUCGGGACUUCAAGAGGAAUCCACGAAGCCCUCAUUUGCCAGAUUUGGUGAAGGUUAGCUCAGUCGAAUCCCAUUUCUACUCAGCUGCUGUGGAUUUUGGACUGAAUUGAGAAAUUUUGGUGUUUUAAUUUGGAGUUAGCUCGAUUUCGAGACUCGGGCGUUUUUGGUCGAUCCAGCAGGUGGUGUCGCAGUUGAGGGGGUUCUGUGCUGCCAGGGAUUAGCGUGUGAGGUGGGUUACAUCGGCUUUACUCCUAAGUUCUUAUUGGUCGACAUGUAUAGAUCUUGAUUUCGGUAAAUUAUGUUAGCUCAAAUUCAUGGACUAUAUGUAGAUUGUGAAAUCUGAAUUUUGGAGCAUGUUUUAUAAAUUAAGUAGAUUAUACAUGUUGGACUUGAAAAUUGAAUUAGGAGAAAACCUGCGAUUUGGACCUGUCACCAGUUUUAACUACCUGAUUUAGCUCUAGGAGCCGUUAGAAAAUUGUACUGUCACAGUUUCUUCGAGACGAGUACUCCAGGUAGUUUAGAAUAUAUUUACACUCGUGCUGGUUCGCCGAGUGAAUUUUUACAGGGUCGUUCAGGUCGUUUCGGACUGUUGGGUGCCGUCAGAGUUGACGGUGGAUCCGUAUCGCCUUUUCGGCGUCAGAUUGUGCCGAGGGCACGUUACCUGUUGGUUGUUAGACCAGUUUGAGCCGAUUACUUGACUUUGGCUAGUUGGAGCCUGAUUGAGCUCGACAGAGAUACGCUGCAUACUCGGUUGGGUAGCGCCCACGAGUGCCACUCCGGAGUCAGGCUUGUGCUUUUGCGUUGGUGUCGCUCAUGCCAGUUGGACUUGCUCUCCACGGACCAGUUAGAGUGGAUAGAGCCCGAUAGUCACAACGGGGCAGGGACGGGUGUAUUCACAGUCCCGGGGAUGGGUAUGCUUACAGUCCCAUUUUGGAUUGGGUCAGACUUGACAUUUCCUACAGUUUGUUAGUGUAGAGCAUGAUAGUGUAGUGGAUGAUAGCGGUAGAGUGUACUUCCUGCUUUUCCUACUAUCCUUGCUCCCUUCUGUAGACUUAGUGGGUGACCGAUGUUGUUUUGGGCCGUACCCACUGAGGACUACUUGUUUUUACAGUAGUUCUCACGCCCAGUUGUUACUUAUGUUUUGCAGAGCCACAGGUGCCGGCUGCUGCAUCUUCCGCCGACCAGGAUCGAGGCAAGGGCGUUGUGAGCUAGAGCCCUACCCGACAGUCAGAGCUAGAGGCUUUUCCCUACUGCAGGGAGUUGUUGUUUUGGAGUUUAUGUAUAUAGUUGUUUAACUCGCCAGUGCGAGUAGCCUUGUAUUUUGGAUUCUAGCUAUGUAUAUGAAACUCAGUUAUUUAGUUUUUGAGCGGCUCUAUGCUAUUGUUUGUAGUAUCGUUUUUCUACAGGUUCUUUGACGUGCCUGGGGAACGUGAUAUCCGGGUCGUGACACAUAUAUUCUCAAGUGUUAAGAAUUUGAGACAUGUGUCAUUGGUGGUUAAUUUCUAAAUGCUUCCGAUCAAUGGAUCAUCACGGGGACGGUGAUUGAUCCAGUGAGAUUGGUGCAUAGGUCGCUUCCCUUUUGGGUAGACGAGUCUCGAGUCGACAGUGUGGGGAUACUGAAGCGAAUAUGUAGCUGGUUGUUAGAGAACAAGGGUACUGAGCGUGACUAAUGAGAGAAGUCACUUGCAUGUCUACUCACUCGUCAGUGACUUACUCAAUUGUUGCAGUAGUGUGACUGGUCCUUUGACCUGUGGUGCCUCGGCUAUUCACAAUGAGGUUACUGUAGUUUGACUAUACAUACACUUGGUCCCUAGCCAUUCGGGUCCUUGCGGUGCAUGUUGGCUGCAGUAGGUUCAUUGUAGGAAUAGGGUGCGCACUUAGAUGGAACUAUCUCCCUUGGUAGAUAGGGGUGUUAGUCCUAUGUGAUUUAUGAGACCGAGUUUAGAAGACCUUGGCCAGGGCAGAAUAAAUAGCGGAAAAGGGUUUCCGAUAUUAGAAAUUCGAGUCGAAUAAAUUUAACAUAUGACAGACGAUGGGGUUUGACGAGUUAUUCCAUAACCUCCGUCUAGUCGGGACUCAUGAUAGAAGAAUUGUAUCACACGGUAACUGCACCAAGAGGUUCAUUAUUCCAUUCUACUGGAAUGCCACUACAUGCUGCUAGGCGUCACUGGUGGAUUGUGAGACUCAUAAGAAUUAUCUAGAUGAUCGAUAAUUCUCAUUGGGCUGAGUUGGAAUUGUUCUAAUCCAUUGAAAGGAGUUUCAGUGAUAUUAUUAAUAGUGAUCAAAAUAUAUCUCACUACCAGAUAGAAUAAAACUUAUGGGGUCACACACAUAAGAGGUUGUGAUUGAUCGGAUAGCUAGAUCGCGAUUAUUGAAUUGCCGGAAGACCUAAUUGUCAAUAUAAUGAUAAUUGGACUAAUUUGUAAUUGUUACAAAUUAGUGGUAUUAAGGUGUAAAUGUUACAAGAGAAGACUUACUAAUAGUUAGUAAAUUAUAAGAGGACUUAUGUGCAAAUAUUGCAUUAUUAAUUUGAUAUGAUCAAAUUAAUAUAAAGAUCGAAUCAAAUUAGGAUUUGAUCGAUCUAACCAAUUAAGGAAAGGAUAAAUUUAAUCUAGAUUUAUACUUAUCCUUAAUUGUCAUUAUAUUAUUAGGAAUAGGAUUAUAUUCCUAUAUAUGACAUACGGGAGUUUUUAGAAAACCCUAGCCGUUAUCUCUCUUCUUCUUCUCUCUUCCAUCUUCUAGCAAGAAAGACAUCCUUUUGCAAGAGAACUAGCACCCCGGUGAGGAUAUCGAUCAAAUCAAGAACCUCGUGUGGAUACCUAUAGAGGCCGGACGCUUGUGCGGCUUCAAGAGAACCGAAUUCCAUGAUCAUCAAAUUGAGAUGAAGAUUUAUCCGCGAAUAAGGUAAAGAUUCGAUCUUACUUUUUUCCUUUAAUCUUAAAGAACAUGAGUGAUCCAAAUUGCGUGGUUUUUGAGAUUUGAUCUCGAGAGUUUUCAAAAAUCAAAUUUGUUUGAUUUCUUUUUCCGUUGCGUUUUUACCGUACGCAAUUUUCUAACAGAAAGGGCAUAUCAAGCGCAAUUGUCGAAAGCUUCAAGAUGAUUUGAAAGAGUUAAAGCGACAGAAGGAGAAAACUGUCGUGAACCAGGAUGAGACGGCAUCAGCGACGGUGCAGGCGACAGAGUUGGAGACGAUCAAUUUUGAUGUGCUGUAUGCAGCGACCGAAAGUGCGAAAAUUUCGGAUAAUGCGUGGGUGCUCGAUUCGGCGUGUUACUUUCACGUAUGCCCGGAGAAGGAGUCUUUUGCCACCUAUAAGGCAAUUAAGGUUGGAAAGGCUUUGAUGGGGAACGAGACGGCGUGCAAAGUUUUGAGAGUCGGCACGGUGAAGAUCCGAAUGCACGAUGGGGUCGUAAGGACGCUGACAGGUGAGCGGCACAUUCCUGGAUUGAAGUAGAAUUUGAUUUCGUUAGGCGUAUUGGACUCGAAGGGUUGCGAUAUUUCAGCUUCAGGUAGAGCUAUGAGGGUCCGAAAAUGAGCUCGGGUUGUGUGCGAGGCGAACAAGCGCGGGAAUUUAUAUGUUCUGAACGGGAGAACAGUUAGAACGGAAGCGAGACGGUUUGAGUUCCAAAAGUUCGUGAAGGAGCAGUCACUCGAGGCACAGGAUGCGGCGACAUCGGGCGGAGGAGACAAGCUCAAGGUGGAACUUGCAUGAUGAGCUCGACACAGCAAUUCAAGAUUACAAAUCCAACCAAGGUGGAGAAUGUUAGGAUUUGGUUAGAUUUGUAGAUUAAUUCUAGUUGGAUAAGAAUUAAUAUUUAAAUCUGUUGGAGAUAAAUUAAGAUUUAAAUAUUAAUUAGAGUAUGAAUCUAACUAGGUUAAGAUAAAUAUUUAAAUCUAUUGGAGAUAAAUGAUAUAUAGAUUUAAAUAUUUAUUAGAGUAAGAAUCGUAAUUGGACUAGGAUUCGUGUAUGUUUUAGAGAAUGCAUUAUAAAAGCACCCUUUGGGAUGCUUUUGGAGGAGAGAGUACGAUGAGAAGGAAUGCCUUCUUAGGUGAAACCGUACCAGGAGAGAGAAAGUAAUGGUUGCAUGCACCUAGUGCACGGGUGCAUGUGAGAGAGAAAAAGAGAGAGUUGUUUUUUUUGUGGGUUUAUAGAAGACGAGAGAAGGGUAAGAGAGAUUUAAGAAAGAGGGCUCGGAUUGUAGCUACUCGAUACAAAAGAGGAGUCAGGUGUAAUCUUCUCUUAUUUAAUGAAUCUUAUUUUAUCUACAUAUUUUCUAUUUUGGUUUUUCUUUCUUUUGUGAUGUUAUCAACUUUUGCUGAGGAGACGGGUUCAUGGUAAAAAUCCGAUUCGACACUUCCGUUGCGGAAUCCCAACAAUCGGUAUUGGAUCAACAGCAGUCGGUAUCGAAGCGGUUUGCGGAUUCACAAAAUCCGGUACCAG